This 806-nucleotide ribosomal RNA is filed under the name uncultured bacterium. Its description in RNAcentral is "bacterial SSU rRNA". It matches the Rfam family "Bacterial small subunit ribosomal RNA", at positions 556 to 1362 of the family's 1533-position model. The record is from RNAcentral.
GGGCGUAAGCGAGCGCAGGCGGAAUGAUAAGUCUGAUGUGAAAGCCCACGGCUCAACCGUGGAACUGCAUCGGAAACUGUCAUUCUUGAGUACAGAAGAGGAGAGUGGAACUCCAUGUGUAGCGGUGGAAUGCGUAGAUAUAUGGAAGAACACCAGUGGCGAAGGCGGCUCUCUGGUCUGCAACUGACGCUGAGGCUCGAAAGCAUGGGUAGCGAACAGGAUUAGAUACCCUGGUAGUCCAUGCCGUAAACGAUGAGCGCUAGGUGUUGGGGACUUUCCGGUCCUCAGUGCCGCAGCAAACGCAUUAAGCGCUCCGCCUGGGGAGUACGACCGCAAGGUUGAAACUCAAAGGAAUUGACGGGGGCCCGCACAAGCGGUGGAGCAUGUGGUUUAAUUCGAAGCAACGCGAAGAACCUUACCAGGUCUUGACAUCCUGCGCUACACCUAGAGAUAGGUGGUUCCCUUCGGGGACGCAGAGACAGGUGGUGCAUGGCUGUCGUCAGCUCGUGUCGUGAGAUGUUGGGUUAAGUCCCGCAACGAGCGCAACCCUUGUCUUUAGUUGCCAUCAUUAAGUUGGGCACUCUAAAGAGACUGCCGGUGAUAAACCGGAGGAAGGUGGGGAUGACGUCAAGUCAUCAUGCCCCUUAUGACCUGGGCUACACACGUGCUACAAUGGGCAGUACAACGAGAAGCAAGCCCGCGAGGGUAAGCGGAUCUCUUAAAGCUGUUCUCAGUUCGGACUGCAGGCUGCAACUCGCCUGCACGAAGCUGGAAAUCGCUAGUAAUCGCGGAUCAGCACGCCGCGG